UUUCGGAAUGAAGACAUGCUCUGGCAGUAGCCGCAAUUGCCCUGGAAAUAGGCCUUCAAGUUUGAUUUCCCCCCCCAAUUGAACGCUUACCCCUUCUCCCAUCUCUCCAGUGGCAACCGAAUCGGCGAUGGAAACUAAGCACAAUCGCAUGAUCAUCCGAACAGCAAUGGCCUCGAGGCUCCUCCUGAUUUCCCUAAUCGUUCUAUGGCGGAGUCUCCUCCGUCCCUACGACACUUCCGCCUCCAUAAACCCUACCUGCCUCUCUUCUUCUUCUUCUUCUUCGCCGCCGAUUCUCUUCCCUCGAAUUGCGAGGGCGAUCGAGGACAGCAUCGUGUGGGACAGCGUCUAUUUCGUCCGCAUCGCUCAGUGUGGAUACGAGUAUGAGCAGUCCUACGCCUUCUUUCCUCUCCUCCCUCUUUGCAUUUCUCUCUUCUCCCACACAGUGUUCGCACCGUUGAUUCCAGUUAUUGGAUAUAGAGCUGUCUUGGGGUUAUCUGGAUAUGUAAUUAACAACAUUGCGUUUGUCUUGGCUGCAAGUUACCUGUACAAGCUUUCAGUUAUUAUUUUGAAGGACCGAGAGGGAGCACUGAGAGCAACGAUUUUGUUUUGCUUCAAUCCAGCUUCUAUUUUCUACUCCUCAAUAUAUACUGAAAGUUUAUACUCUUUGUUUUCGAUUGGGGGAUUGUAUCAUUUAAUGUCUGGUGCAGAUCAUUUUGCUACACUUUUGCUUGCUCUCUCAGGGGCUACAAGGUCAAAUGGGGUGAUUAAUGCAGGUUAUCUUUGUUAUCAGACCAUGCACAAGGCUUAUGAUGCUCUCUUUUGUAAAAGGCAUUUCUAUUUGACAGUGCAGGUUCUUACUGCUGGAGCUCUGCAUUGUCUUUGUAUUCUUGUACCCUUCAUUGCUUUUCAAGCAUAUGGAUACUGGAAUAUUUGUCUUGGACACAUUCCAGUUGAAACGAGGCCAUGGUGCACGGCAAGAUUUCCUCUACUGUACAAUUAUAUUCAAAGUCAUUAUUGGGGAGUGGGGUUUUUGAGAUAUUUCCAAGUAAAACAGUUGCCAAAUUUCCUCCUUGCAUCUCCAAUAUUGUCUUUGGCACUUUGCUCAAUCGUCCAUUAUGUAAAUCUACGUCCGGAAGUUUAUAUUUCACUGGGUUUCCGAGGUUCUCCUGAGAAUAAAAACCUAGUGCCCACGACUUUUCCUACAGUCACAGACAAAAGAGCAGAUAGUGGUUACACUCUGGCUGCACCCUCUUCUGGGAUAGAGCAAGAGGAUCAGAUUCUUAGACGGAGGAAACGAGCAAUCAAGGGAUACGUUCCUGUUACUCUUCCGGUAGAAAAUGAAUUUUCUGAUAAGCUUGUCCUUCCUUUUAUUCUACAUCUGGGAUUCAUGGCAGCCACAACGUUUUUUGUCAUGCAUGUGCAGGUCGAUCCCACACUAAUCCCUCUUUAUUAUAAAUUAUAAUUGCAAAAUAUUCAAAAGUUUGAGUGGAGACAGUCUACUGACCUUUGUGAGUAGACUGAAAAGUUUAAUUGAACAAUUUAAGCAGAUCUUCUAGUUUUGGUUUGUAACUGCUUAAUAUUUACUAGCUAAAAUUACUGUUAUGCACUUCAAAUGGCCAGAGGAAUUCCCUUCACUUUUGGGAAGGAAGUUAGCUAGAGAAUACCCUAAGAACAUUCAAAAUAUGACUUUGUCGGUUAAAUCAUCUCUUGGGUUUCAGUACAUGGAUAUGUUUUUUCAUCUCCUCAGAUUUGCUGAAAACCAGACUUGCUACUUCAUUUGGGGUCUGUUAUUCCCACUUCAAAAAUUACUAAUUGCAUUCAAUUGUAAUGUGGUAAAAUUACGCUACAGUGGAGUGUGAUUAACGCUCUUGGAGUGGGAAUAACUUUUCCCCUUCAGUUCAAGUUCUAACAAAAGCUUCAAAUUACAUUCUUUUGGAAAUAGGACAUUGUUCCUGGUCAAAUUACAAAAGGUCGCAACUCGGUUCUUAUCUGCCAGUCCACCUCUCUACUGGUUCGCCUCAUAUUUAAUGGUCUCUCCUGGAACUG
Diospyros lotus (date-plum) is the source of this 2046-nucleotide RNA transcript. RefSeq lists it as uncharacterized. NCBI's taxonomy places the organism in Eukaryota, Viridiplantae, Streptophyta, Magnoliopsida, Ericales, Ebenaceae. The record is from RefSeq and is a predicted model, not a curated record. The transcript is spliced from 8 exons.